Molecule: long non-coding RNA, 440 nt
Organism: Mauremys mutica (yellowpond turtle)
Lineage: Eukaryota; Metazoa; Chordata; Testudines; Geoemydidae
Exons: 3
Source: RefSeq, a predicted model, not a curated record
UUAACAUAUGUGACAUUCUUCAAAACAAGAUUUCAACAGAUCCGCAUUUCAUAAUUUCCGGCAGUCCAUAAAUAGAGUCUCACCGCCUCCUGUCUAUCUUGGAGUCUCUUCUCUCCAGUGACGUUGAGUUCCCAACCAAACUUCAGCCAUGAAGAUAUUUUAUGUUCUUUUUGCUGUCUUCUUCUUGGUACUGCAAAGCUCUCCAGGAUUCGCCCCGGAUUCUCCCUCAUACCCCGAAGCAUGUACACGUGCUGGGGGCUUCUGCCACUUUAACUGUCCCUCACUUUCCACACCUAUUGGAAGCUGCGGUUUUGUGGAGAGUUGUUGUAGAUGGGGCUCAGCUCGUGAGUGAUGGUAGCAGAGACUGUCCAUGCAGGAUCUCUGGGAAUCUGGCAGACGACACCUUGCUUCUAAAAUCCUUGGAUCCUUUUCAUCUGGGC